This is an RNA transcript of Humulus lupulus (European hop), 3270 nucleotides long. It is a transcript of the gene named pentatricopeptide repeat-containing protein At1g77360, mitochondrial-like, with no coding region annotated. NCBI's taxonomy places the organism in Eukaryota, Viridiplantae, Streptophyta, Magnoliopsida, Rosales, Cannabaceae. The transcript has 4 exons. The record is from RefSeq and is a predicted model, not a curated record.
UUUUGGAGUAAUCAUUACUCAUAUGUGAGUAUGCUUUACUUCUUUAAAAACUAUAUAAAUAUAUGAAUCAUAAUAAACAAAUAAAUCCCAUCUCGAACUUGAGUGUCUUUUUCAUAUAAACUAGUAGAAAUUUCUCCAAUAUGUGAUUUAAUAUCGAAAUCAAGAUUAGUGAGACACAAAAGUUUCAACCUUUACUUGACUCGCCGCCCCUCCCAACUCACCCAGUCAACUCGGUUUCGGCAACUCAGCAGUCAUCAGCGGAGCGUUGAGUCUCCGCCGACGGCGUCUUAGCCCACUUCGCCUCCGGGUAUUCCUCUUGUGUUAGUUGCCAUCAGCCAUAUGGAGUGAAGUCCAUGUGUUCGAUAAAUGGUCGCUGAAACCUUUUUCGACCUUUUAUUUAUGUCUUCAGUUGUAACGUCAUAGCCUCGAAGUGAAAGGUUACUUCUUUUCUGUGUUGUAUUUAGCUAACGAUCUCUACCAUUGUAGAACUCACCAGCGAUCUGAGAAAGCCUCAUUCUCAGAAUUAAGUCAACAAGCAAUGAUCUACAACAAAGUUGGAAAGCUAUGCACCAAGCUAAACCUGGGGAAAAGGUACAGUUCCACAAAACCAAAGAGGGAAAUCUCAGACCCAACUGAAAGAAUCUGCAAAGUGAUGAUGUCCAAUCCAGUGGCAGCAGUCCACACGGCACUCGACCACACUGGGGUUAAGGUUUCGCCAGAGAUGGUUGAGCACGUCCUUCUCCGAUUCCAGAACGCUGGAAUGCUCACAUACCGGUUUUUUGAGUGGGCAGCGAAGCAACGAGGCUAUGACCACAGUGUCCGAGCAUACCACGCCAUGAUUGGGUCUCUGGCAAAGAUACGUCAGUACCAGCUGAUGUGGGAGCUGGUGAGUAGCAUGAGGUCAAAGGAAUUGAUCAACGUUGAAACAUUCUGUAUCAUUAUGAGAAAGUACACCAGAGCUCAGAAAGUAGAGGAAGCUCUUUAUACCUUUAAUGUCAUGGAGAAGUAUGGUGUUGAACCCAAUCUAACAGCUUUUAAUGGGCUUCUGAGUGCUUUGUGCAAAUCCAAGAAUGUGAGAAAAGCUCAGGAGGUUUUUGAUGCUAUGAAGGCUCGGUUUGAACCAGAUUCGAAAACUUAUAGCAUUUUGAUAGAUGGGUGGGGGAAAGAACCCAACUUGCCUAAAGCCAGAGAAGUUUUCAGAGAUAUGGUUGAUAUUGGUAUCAGUCCUGAUAUUGUUACUUAUGGUAUAAUGGUUGAUGUUCUCUGUAAGGCUGGGAGAGUUGAUGAAGCUAUUGGAAUUGUGAGAACAAUGGAUUCCAAUGGUUGCAAACCGACUUCGUUUAUUUACAGUGUUUUGGUUCACACAUAUGGGGUGGAGAACAGGAUUGAAGAUGCUGUGGAUGCCUUUAUGGAAAUGGAAAGCAAGGGUGUUGAAGCAGAUGUGGUUGUGUAUAAUGCUUUGAUUGGUGCUUUCAUUAAGGUGGACAGGUUCAAGAAUGCUUAUAGGGUGUUAAAUGACAUGGAUUCAAAAGGGAUAAUGCCUAAUUCAAGGACUUGUAAUGUGAUGUUAAAUGGCUUGAUUGGCAGAGGGAAGACAGAGGAGGCAUUUAAGGUGUUUCGGAGGAUGGUUAAGGUAUGCGAGGCGGAUUCAGACACUUACACGAUGAUGAUAAAGAUGUUUUGUGAGAAGGAUGAGGUUGAGAUGGCUCUGAAAGUGUGGAAAUACAUGAAGUUGAAGCGAUUUGUUCCGAGUAUGCAUACUUUUUCGGUUCUAAUAAAUGGGUUGUGUGAGAAGGGUGAUGCUACACAGGCCUGUGUUCUAAUGGAGGAGAUGAUAGAGAAGGGAAUUCGACCUUCAGGGGUAACUUUAGGGAGGUUGAGACAGUUGUUGAUAAAGGAGGGAAGAGAUGAUGUUCUCAAAUUUCUUCAGCAGAAGAUGAAUCUUAUGGUUAAAGAGCCUCUUUGUGAUUGAGUAAGCUGAAAAUUUCCUAUCUUUUUGUAUAUAAUUUUUUUAAUAAUAAGAAUCCUAAUCUUGAGUUCAGAACUCUAGGCCUGCAGUGACAUAUUUUGAAAAGCCAAAAAAGGACAUUUUUUUUAGAUAAUGUGACAAAUAGCAAGAAAAUUUUAAGAUUGUUCUUUAUGUGGGUUAGUGAUUUGAAAUUGAAGUAGAUAUUCCACCUUGUCAGUCCUCAUUUUCUGAAACCAACUAAAGCUUUCUUGUACAUUGAUUGAAUUGAAUCAUCAUCUUGUUUUAUCUGAUAUUACUCUGUAACAGCUUUAUGUUCAUCUUUUCUCAUUGAUGGAUGGUACGGCACUUAGCUUCUUAUGUAAUAAGAUAUCAGUCUCCAGAUUAUAAGGUGACCGCUAAGGACUUAAAGGUUGAUCGUUCUCAAGGAUCGUUCUUAUAUUGGUACUAGCUCGAAUCUGAGAAUCGACAAAAGUGUUAGUAUCAGCUGUGAGGCUGUGACUUAUUUGUCAGGCUCGGCAGUGUUACUGGACACAGGUCAGGAAGCGCUGACUUACUUGUCAGAACGGCCUUAGCGUGAAUCAUGCCUGACCGACCCUGAUGUUCAAUGAAUAAACAGAGCUUGAAGGCCAGUGGCUUACCUAUCAGCCACUCUCUUGCUAGAAAACAGAGCUUGAAGGCCAGUGGCUUACCUAUCAGCCACUCUCUUGCUAGAAAACAGAGCUUGAAGGCCAGUGGCUUACCUAUCAGCCACUCUCCUGCUAGAAAACAGAGCUUGGAGGCUAGUGGCUUAUGUAACAGCCACUCUCCCGCUAGAAUCAUGUAAAGGCAAGAGGAAGCUAAACCAUCCUUGAGUUGGAGGGCUUAGGUGAUGACGUGUACAUAUGCGGCUGCUCGACCGCCACGGUCGAGGUUUAAAGUGGAACUAGGGUUGAACCCUGUUUUGCCGCUUAGAACGGCCUGUUGUAAAUAUUUUCUGUAAUAAACUCUGAAUUGUAUUUUCGGGAUCCCAAUGUAUAUGUUAAACGUUCUAGUGAAACGUUAUAUCUUAACCAAAAUGUUUAAUCCCUAAACCGCUAAUCAUACUUAGAUCACGAUUUUGGUCAAAUGACUCGAUUAGUGAGUUUAGCACUAUUUACAAGGCACACCGUAACGGUCCCAGGAGUUGGGGCGUUACACCCUAUUUGGUAGGAUAUCUCUCAUUUUAGCAUGUAGAGAAAUUAUAAUCCAAAUUUUUUAUAUGCCAGUGUAUAUUUGUAGCACACAAAUUUUUUUUUGUUUGUUAUUAUUUGUUUAUGUGUUGA